Molecule: ribosomal RNA, 460 nt
Filed under: uncultured bacterium
Lineage: Bacteria
Description: partial 16S ribosomal RNA
Rfam family: Bacterial small subunit ribosomal RNA
Source: RNAcentral
CCUACGGGGGGCUGCAGUGAGGAAUAUUGGUCAAUGGACGAGAGUCUGAACCAGCCAAGUAGCGUGAAGGAUGACUGCCCUAUGGGUUGUAAACUUCUUUUAUAUGGGAAUAAAACGUUCCACGUGUGGGAUUUUGUAUGUACCAUAUGAAUAAGGAUCGGCUAACUCCGUGCCAGCAGCCGCGGUGAUACGGAGGAUCCGAGCGUUAUCCGGAUUUAUUGGGUUUAAAGGGAGCGUAGGUGGAUUGUUAAGUCAGUUGUGAAAGUUUGCGGCUCAACCGUAAAAUUGCAGUUGAAACUGGCAGUCUUGAGUACAGUAGAGGUGGGCGGAAUUCGUGGUGUAGCGGUGAAAUGCUUAGAUAUCACGAAGAACUCCGAUUGCGAAGGCAGUUCACUGGACUGCAACUGACACUGAGGCUCGAAAGUGUGGGUAUCAAACAGGAUUAGAUACCCGUGUAGUC